Molecule: ribosomal RNA, 119 nt
Filed under: Lepisosteus oculatus (spotted gar)
Lineage: Eukaryota; Metazoa; Chordata; Actinopteri; Semionotiformes; Lepisosteidae
Source: RNAcentral
GCCAGCAGCCAUACCACCCUGCAACUCACAACUGGCAACCCACUGAAGAUAAGCAGGUGUGAGCCUGGUCAGUACCUGAAUAUGAGACCUCCUGGGAAAAACUAAGGUUGCUGCUGGAA